RNAcentral lists this transfer RNA (71 nucleotides) under Loxodonta africana (African savanna elephant). It matches the Rfam family "tRNA". From Rfam's summary of the family: Transfer RNA (tRNA) molecules are approximately 80 nucleotides in length. Lineage: Eukaryota; Metazoa; Chordata; Mammalia; Proboscidea; Elephantidae. The record is from Rfam by way of RNAcentral.
GCAAUGGUGGUUCAGUGGUAGAAUUCUUGCCUUCCACGCGGGAGACCAGGGUCAGAUUCCCGGCCAUACCC